GACGAACGCUGGCGGCGUGCUUAACACAUGCAAGUCGAACGGAAAGGCCCUGCUUUUGUGGGGUGCUCGAGUGGCGAACGGGUGAGUAACAUGUGAGUAACCUGCCCUUGACUUUGGGAUAACUUCAGGAAACUGGGGCUAAUACCGGAUAGGAGCUCCUGCUGCAUGGUGGGGGUUGGAAAGUUUCGGCGGUUGGGGAUGGACUCGCGGCUUAUCAGCUUGUUGGUGGGGUAGUGGCUUACCAAGGCUUUGACGGGUAGCCGGCCUGAGAGGGUGACCGGCCACAUUGGGACUGAGAUACGGCCCAGAGUCCUACGGGGGGCAGCAGUGGGGAAUAUUGCACAAUGGGCGGAAGCCUGAUGCAGCAACGCCGCGUGCGGGAUGACGGCCUUCGGGUUGUAAACCGCUUUCGCCUGUGACGAAGCGUGAGUGACGGUAAUGGGUAAAGAAGCACCGGCUAACUACGU
RNAcentral lists this ribosomal RNA (467 nucleotides) under uncultured bacterium. RNAcentral's name for it is "partial 16S ribosomal RNA". It matches the Rfam family "Bacterial small subunit ribosomal RNA", at positions 28 to 506 of the family's 1533-position model. The record is from RNAcentral.